GUGGGUAGUGUGAGCUUUGAAAUGCUCAACAUGGAAUGCUGUGAUAUGAAUUUCAGCAACCUUUUUGGGGAAACUAUUUUUAGUCUCUUAAUACAUGAUUAAUGUGACCAUUUUCUCCUUAUUGCUGCCUUAGAUUUAAUUAACAAUUGGUGUGAUUAUUUUUCCUGGAUGUGAUGCCAGACGAUUAAACCUUUGAGUCACGAUCACAGCCCUUGUAGGUUAAACAGCUACCAAAACUGCUUUUGAUGGGACAAGAGCAUCAUUGUAUCUGUGGACAAACUGUCUGAGGAAGAACCCACCCCUGGAGAGCAAGCUGGCUGCUCCUCCAAUAUCUGACUGCCACCCGGAAAGAAAAUUUGUUCCUUCCAAGUUAGACUAUGUGUCCCUUCUAUGAAAUGUCUGCAGGGCGCCCAAACUCACCCAAUUCCCUGCGCUGCCUCCUGAACUCUUCAUGGAAGAGAGAGCGCAGUGAGUCACCCUGUCUUCUUAAGAGGACACAUGUAAGAGGGGCCGGUGAUUGUGUAGCCAGUGAGGACAUGAGGACAGUGGGUGUUUACAACUUGUCUGCCAAGCAGAGAGAUGAUUCUCUUAAACCCAGCACAGUAUGUGUGUCAUGUGUGGUGCAUGUGUGUGUUUGGUGGUGGAGGGUGGGGGAUGGAGACCUUAAUACCUAAAUCACCAAACAAGAUUUCUGAGUGGGAAAAAUGUGACUGAUCACUACAUUGAGUCCAUUUGUCAUGGACAGACCCUGUUUUCAACCUGUUGUCACCUUUUUUUUAUUUGGCAUUGUGCAUUCUCAGCUGAUUGUUAGACAUAUUUAUAUCAGCUCGUGUUUGGUUUUUUUUUCUUUUUAUAAAGACAAGGGUGUUCUGGUGCUACAGAUGUGGAUACAAACUAAAAAUAAAAAGGUGUCCCUUUAUAAUAACA
This 927-nucleotide long non-coding RNA is filed under the name Vulpes vulpes (red fox). Its description in RNAcentral is "lncRNA (ENSVVUG00000026741.1)". The record is from RNAcentral. Lineage: Eukaryota; Metazoa; Chordata; Mammalia; Carnivora; Canidae.